Molecule: ribosomal RNA, 505 nt
Filed under: uncultured bacterium
Lineage: Bacteria
Description: bacterial SSU rRNA
Rfam family: Bacterial small subunit ribosomal RNA
Source: RNAcentral
ACGAACGCUGGCGGCGUGCUUAACACAUGCAAGUCGAACGAGAGGAGAAGGAAGCCUGCUUCUUUCAAAUCUAGUGGCAAACGGGUGAGUAACGCGUAAGCAACCUGCCCUUCAGAUGGGGACAACAGCUGGAAACGGCUGCUAAUACCGAAUACGUUCUUUUUGUCGCAUGGCAGAGGGAAGAAAGGGAGGCUCUUCGGAGCUUUCGCUGAAGGAGGGGCUUGCGUCUGAUUAGCUAGUUGGUGGGGCAACGGCCUACCAAGGCGACGAUCAGUAGCCGGUCUGAGAGGAUGAACGGCCACAUUGGAACUGAGACACGGUCCAGACUCCUACGGGAGGCAGCAGUGGGGAAUCUUCCGCAAUGGGCGAAAGCCUGACGGAGCAAUGCCGCGUGAGUGAAGAAGGUUUUCGGAUCGUAAAGCUCUGUUGAGAGGGACGAGAGGCAAGGCUAGGAAAUGAGCUUUGUAGGACGGUACCUUUCGAGGAAGCCACGGCUAACUACGUG